ACUCAAAUGAAUUGACGGGGGCCCGCACAAGCAGCGGAGCGUGUGGUUUAAUUCGACGCAACGCGAAGAACCUUACCAGGGCUUGAAAUGCUACCGCUAUUGGCCGAAAGGCUGAGUUCCGCGAGGACGGUAGUACAGGUGUUGCAUGGCUGUCGUCAGCUCGUGUUGUGAGAUGUUGGGUUAAGUCCCGCAACGAGCGCAACCCUUGUCGCCAGUUACCGUGUCUGGCGAGACUGCCGGGGGCAACCCGGAGGAAGGCAAGGAUGACGUCAAGUCGGCACGGCCCUUACGCCCUGGGCUACACACACGCUACAAUGGCCGGCACAGCGGGUCGCAAAAGCGCAAGCUGGAGCCAAUCCCUGCAAAACCGGUCGUAGUUCAGAUUGGGGGCUGCAACUCGCCCCCAUGAAGUCGGAGUUGCUAGUAACCGUGGGUCAGCACACCGCGGUGAAUAUGUACCCGGGCCUUGCACACACCGCCCGU
RNAcentral lists this ribosomal RNA (483 nucleotides) under uncultured bacterium. RNAcentral describes it as "partial 16S ribosomal RNA". It matches the Rfam family "Bacterial small subunit ribosomal RNA", at positions 899 to 1397 of the family's 1533-position model. The record is from RNAcentral.